CCCCAGGUCGUAUAACGGUAUUACCUUCGGCUGUAGACCGAAAGAAGAGAGUUCGACUCUCUCCCUGGGGA
Molecule: transfer RNA, 71 nt
Filed under: Candidatus Pacearchaeota archaeon
Lineage: Archaea; Nanobdellati
Also listed under: 1 other name
Description: tRNA-Tyr
Rfam family: tRNA
About the family: Transfer RNA (tRNA) molecules are approximately 80 nucleotides in length. Their secondary structure includes four short double-helical elements and three loops (D, anti-codon, and T loops). Further hydrogen bonds mediate the characteristic L-shaped molecular structure. tRNAs have two regions of fundamental functional importance: the anti-codon, which is responsible for specific mRNA codon recognition, and the 3' end, to which the tRNAs corresponding amino acid is attached (by aminoacyl-tRNA synthetases). tRNAs cope with the degeneracy of the genetic code in two manners: having more than one tRNA (with a specific anti-codon) for a particular amino acid; and 'wobble' base-pairing, i.e. permitting non-standard base-pairing at the 3rd anti-codon position.
Source: RNAcentral